AUGAACGCUGGCGGCGUGCCUAAUACAUGCAAGUCGAGCGAACGGACGAGAAGCUUGCUUUUCUGAUGUUAGCGGCGGACGGGUGAGUAACACGUGGAUAACCUACCUAUAAGACUGGGAUAACUUCGGGAAACCGGAGCUAAUACCGGAUAAUAUUUUGAACCGCAUGGUUCAAAAGUGAAAGACGGUCUUGCUGUCACUUAUGGAUGGAUCCGCGCUGCGUUAGCUAGUUGGUAAGGUAACGGCUUACCAAGGCAACGAUGCAUAGCCGACCUGAGAGGGUGAUCGGCCACACUGGAACUGAGACACGGUCCAGACUCCUACGGGAGGCAGCAGUAGGGAAUCUUCCGCAAUGGGCGAAAGCCUGACGGAGCAACGCCGCGUGAGUGAUGAAGGUCUUCGGAUCGUAAAACUCUGUUAUUAGGGAAGAACAUAUGUGUAAGUAACUGUGCACAUCUUGACGGUACCUAAUCAGAAAGCCACGGCUAACUACGUG
RNAcentral lists this ribosomal RNA (496 nucleotides) under uncultured bacterium. RNAcentral's name for it is "partial 16S ribosomal RNA". It matches the Rfam family "Bacterial small subunit ribosomal RNA", at positions 29 to 507 of the family's 1533-position model. The record is from RNAcentral.